This 253-nucleotide ribosomal RNA is filed under the name uncultured bacterium. RNAcentral describes it as "partial 16S ribosomal RNA". It matches the Rfam family "Bacterial small subunit ribosomal RNA", at positions 524 to 776 of the family's 1533-position model. The record is from RNAcentral.
UACGUAGGGAGCAAGCGUUGUCCGGAAUCAUUGGGCGUAAAGCGCGCGUAGGCGGCCUUGUAAGUCCGUUGUGAAAGUCAAAGGCUCAACCUUUGAAAGCCGAUGGAUACUGCAGGGCUAGAGUCCGGAAGAGGCGAGUGGAAUUCCUGGUGUAGCGGUGGAAUGCGCAGAUAUCAGGAGGAACACCAAUAGCGAAGGCAGCUCGCUGGGACGGUACUGACGCUGAGGCGCGACGGCGUGGGGAGCAAACCGG